This 471-nucleotide ribosomal RNA is filed under the name uncultured bacterium. RNAcentral describes it as "bacterial SSU rRNA". It matches the Rfam family "Bacterial small subunit ribosomal RNA", at positions 395 to 851 of the family's 1533-position model. The record is from RNAcentral.
CGCCGCGUGAGUGAAGAAGGCCUUCGGGUUGUAAAGCUCGUUUCGGCCGGGAAGAAAUCGUAUCAGCUAAUACCUGGUGCGGAUGACGGUACCGGCAUAAGAAGCACCGGCUAACUACGUGCCAGCAGCCGCGGUAAAUACGUAGGGUGCGAGCGUUAAUCGGAAUUACUGGGCGUAAAGCGUGCGCAGGCGGUUUUGUAAGACAGGCGUGAAAUCCCCCGGGGCUCAAACCUGGGGAACUGCGUUUGUGACUGCAAGGCUAGAGUACGGCAGAGGGGGGUGGAAUUCCACGUGUAGCAGUGAAAUGCGUAGAGAUGUGGAGGAACACCAAUGGCGAAGGCAGCCCCCUGGGUCGAUACUGACGCUCAUGCACGAAAGCGUGGGUAGCAAACAGGAUUAGAUACCCUGGUAGUCCACGCCCUAAACGAUGUCAACUAGGUGUUGGGUGGGUAAAACCAUUUAGUACCGGAG